GUGAGGAAUUUUCCGCAAUGGGCGAAAGCCUGACGGAGCAAUGACGCGUGAAGGAUGAAGGCCUAUGGGUUGUAAACUUCUUUUCUCAGAAAAGAAUUAUGACGGUAUCUGAGGAAUAAGCAUCGGCUAACUCUGUGCCAGCAGCCGCGGUAAGACAGAGGAUGCAAGCGUUAUCCGGAAUGAUUGGGCGUAAAGCGUCUGUAGGUUGUUUAAAAAGUAUUCUGUCAAAGAUUAGGGCUUAACCCUAGAUAGGCAGAAUAAACUUUUAAGCUAGAGUUUGGUAGAGGCAGAGGGAAUUCCCGGUGGAGCGGUGAAAUGCGUAGAUAUCGGGAGGAACACCAAAGGCGAAGGCACUCUGCUGGGCCAAUACUAACACUGAGAGACGAAAGCGAGGGGAGCAAAUGGGAUUAGAAACCCUAGUAGUCC
RNAcentral lists this ribosomal RNA (426 nucleotides) under uncultured bacterium. Its description in RNAcentral is "bacterial SSU rRNA". It matches the Rfam family "Bacterial small subunit ribosomal RNA", at positions 354 to 796 of the family's 1533-position model. The record is from RNAcentral.